Molecule: ribosomal RNA, 425 nt
Filed under: uncultured bacterium
Lineage: Bacteria
Description: partial 16S ribosomal RNA
Rfam family: Bacterial small subunit ribosomal RNA
Source: RNAcentral
GUGGGGAAUCUUAGACAAUGGGCGCAAGCCUGAUCUAGCCAUGCCGCGUGAGCGAUGAAGGCCUUAGGGUUGUAAAGCUCUUCCGUGGGGGAAGAUAAUGACUGUACCCCAAGAAGAAGCCCCGGCUAACUCCGUGCCAGCAGCCGCGGUAAUACGGAGGGGGCUAGCGUUGUUCGGAAUUACUGGGCGUAAAGCGCACGUAGGCGGACUGGAAAGUCAGGGGUGAAAUCCCGGGGCUCAACCCCGGAACUGCCUUUGAAACUCCCAGUCUUGAGUUCGAGAGAGGUGAGUGGAAUUCCGAGUGUAGAGGUGAAAUUCGUAGAUAUUCGGAGGAACACCAGUGGCGAAGGCGGCUCACUGGCUCGAUACUGACGCUGAGGUGCGAAAGCGUGGGGAGCAAACAGGAUUAGAAACCCGAGUAGUCC